AUUAGAUACCCUGGGUAGUCCACGCCGUAAACGAUGAUUACUAGGUGUGGGUGGGUAUGGACCCACUCGGUGCCGCAGCAAACGCAAUAAGUUAUCCACCUGGGGAGUACGACCGCAAGGUUGAAACUCAAAGGAAUUGACGGGGACCCGCACAAGCAGUGGAUUAUGUGGUUUAAUUCGAAGCAACGCGAAGAACCUUACCGGCACUUGACAUCCUACUAACGAAAUGGAGACAUAUUAGGUGCCCUUCGGGGAAAGUAGAGACAGGUGGUGCAUGGUUGUCGUCAGCUCGUGUCGUGAGAUGUUGGGUUAAGUCCCGCAACGAGCGCAACCCCUGCCAUUAGUUGCUACGCAAGAGCACUCUAAUGGGACCGCUACCGACAAGGUGGAGGAAGGUGGGGACGACGUCAAAUCAUCAUGCCCCUUAUGUGCUGGGCUACACACGUAAUACAAUGGUCAUCAACAAAGAGAAGCAAUACCGUGAGGUGGAGCAAAACUCAAAAAAUGAUCUCAGUUCGGACUGUAGGCUGCAACUCGCCUACACGAAGUUGGAAUUGCUAGUAAUCGUGGAUCAGCAUGCCACGGUGAAUACGUUCCCGGGUCUUGUACACACCGCCCGUCACACCAUGGGAGCUGGUAACACCCGAAGUCAGUAGUCUAACCGCAAGGAGGACGCUGCCGAAGGUGGGAUUAGCGACUGGGGUGAAGUCG
Molecule: ribosomal RNA, 711 nt
Filed under: uncultured bacterium
Lineage: Bacteria
Description: bacterial SSU rRNA
Rfam family: Bacterial small subunit ribosomal RNA
Source: RNAcentral